Molecule: long non-coding RNA, 163 nt
Organism: Juglans microcarpa x Juglans regia
Lineage: Eukaryota; Viridiplantae; Streptophyta; Magnoliopsida; Fagales; Juglandaceae
Exons: 3
Source: RefSeq, a predicted model, not a curated record
AAACCUCUAAAAUUUUGAGGCGAUUCUGAGGCGACUUUUGGGUUUAUUUUUGGUUAUUCCAAUUUUUUCGGACUUACCUUUUUUGGUAGGUUUACGACCGUUUGCGAGGCUGGGAUGAGCGGAGGCCAUGGCUUUGUCGUUGGAUUGACCCUCAGAGGGGUUG